CUCCACCGGAGCCCCCCCCCCUCUUUCGGCCAAUCUUACGGACGGCGACGGAUCCGAGGGCGAGGCUGCUGCAGCUGACCGGCGGUUGGGAGGGCGCCGCCGUCGGAGCGGCUGCCGGGGACCGGGUCGCCGCCGUCCGAACCCACUCGGCGCCCUUCACCCACCGCCAGUAGAUUACCAUAAAUCCGUCCCCAGACGGCGAGCCCAAUCACAGGGUGGAUCAUUAAGAACCUGCCGGCGCAGAUUGAUCGCAGUUCCGGCACGUAUAUUUAUGCCGGGGAGACCCACUUCAAUCAAUUCCACUCCGCCAUGGGUCACUGACCGACCGACCUCACGACAGCAGUGGCAGGCGGAACUCAGGAUCUGGACCGGUUGGCAACCACACAAGCCAUGCAUGCCCACCCCCCUCCCCUCGCUGGCUUUUCUCGGACGUCGCUUUGUUGGCUUUGUGCUUUAUGUUCCCCGCGCCGGCAAAGCGGCGCUCGCAUCUCCUGGUGGACCAUCCCGCCGCCGUCGCCCGGCGACCCCAGCGGAGCCCCAAAUCCGCCCGCCGGAAGGGGGGCUCUUCCCAAACAGGCGGAGGCCCAAAGCCGCCCGUCUUUCCCCGGCCGGCGAUGAUUAAAGCAGAGCAAAAGCCGGUUGCAGGCAGCGAUUACGACCGCUCUGCGCCGCCUGCUCUGCUCUGCUCCGCCCGCCCCGCCGCGCGGGGGAGGGGCCGCC
RNAcentral lists this long non-coding RNA (720 nucleotides) under Spirodela polyrhiza (greater duckweed). RNAcentral describes it as "long non-coding RNA (SPOL_LNC001678)". The record is from RNAcentral. Lineage: Eukaryota; Viridiplantae; Streptophyta; Magnoliopsida; Alismatales; Araceae.